CCUGAGUAGCAUGAGAUAUCUAUUUCCCAAUAGACGUUGAUGAAAGCAGCAAGCUUAGGGCUACAUGUAAAUCCACUACGACUAACGGCGAUUUAAACCAUUGAGUCAUAAAAUACAGUAACGCUAGCUAGUAGCAAGGAAAGAUCCUAGGGAAAUCUUGAGCCAACCCUACCGUUGCAGUGAAACCUUUGGUGGAUUUGCUACUUUCU
Molecule: non-coding RNA, 209 nt
Filed under: unclassified sequences
Description: RT-16 RNA
Rfam family: RT-16 RNA (bases 26-209)
About the family: candidate division DUSEL4 (Archaea). Nearby to self-splicing intron genes
Source: Rfam by way of RNAcentral